This 24-nucleotide non-coding RNA is filed under the name Arabidopsis thaliana (thale cress). Lineage: Eukaryota; Viridiplantae; Streptophyta; Magnoliopsida; Brassicales; Brassicaceae. The record is from RNAcentral.
GGGUGUACUCCUAGAAUUAACAAU